CAUAAUCUCUGAGGAGAAAAGCAGGGGAUCGCAAGACCUUGCGCUUUUGGAGCGGCCGAUGCCUGAUUAGCUUGUUGGUUAGGUAAAAGCUUACCAAGGCUUCGAUCAGUAGCUGGUCUGAGAGGACGACCAGCCACACUGGGACUGAGACACGGCCCAGACUCCUACGGGAGGCAGCAGUGGGGAAUUUUGGACAAUGGGGGCAACCCUGAUCCAGCCAUGCCGCGUGAGUGAAGAAGGCCUUCGGGUUGUAAAGCUCUUUCAGCCGGAACGAAACGGUUACGGUUAAUACCCGUGACUAAUGACGGUACCGGAAGAAGAAG
RNAcentral lists this ribosomal RNA (323 nucleotides) under uncultured beta proteobacterium. RNAcentral's name for it is "bacterial SSU rRNA". It matches the Rfam family "Bacterial small subunit ribosomal RNA", at positions 172 to 490 of the family's 1533-position model. Lineage: Bacteria; Pseudomonadati; Pseudomonadota; Betaproteobacteria. The record is from RNAcentral.